GACGUAGGGCGCGAGCGUUGUCCGGAUUUAUUGGGCGUAAAGAGCUCGUAGGCGGCUUGUCGCGUCGUCCGUGAAAACCCACAGCUCAACUGUGGGCUUGCGGGCGAUACGGGCAGGCUAGAGUUCGGUAGGGGAGAAUGGAAUUCCUGGUGUAGCGGUGAAAUGCGCAGAUAUCAGGAAGAACACCCGUGGCUAAGGCGGUUCUCUAGUACGGUACUGACGCUGAGACGCGAAAGCGUGGGGAGCGAACAGG
RNAcentral lists this ribosomal RNA (253 nucleotides) under uncultured bacterium. Its description in RNAcentral is "partial 16S ribosomal RNA". It matches the Rfam family "Bacterial small subunit ribosomal RNA", at positions 524 to 776 of the family's 1533-position model. The record is from RNAcentral.